Molecule: non-coding RNA, 20 nt
Filed under: Arabidopsis thaliana (thale cress)
Lineage: Eukaryota; Viridiplantae; Streptophyta; Magnoliopsida; Brassicales; Brassicaceae
Also listed under: 1 other name
Source: RNAcentral
AAGACUAAUCGAACCAUCUA